AGCUCCGGUGUCUUAGUGGUUAGAGCUUCCGCCUUGUAUGCGGGAGGUUGCGAGUUCGAACUCCCACCGAGUCU
This is a non-coding RNA of Potamilus streckersoni, 74 nucleotides long. NCBI's taxonomy places the organism in Eukaryota, Metazoa, Mollusca, Bivalvia, Unionida, Unionidae. The record is from the annotation of a GenBank genome assembly.